Molecule: long non-coding RNA, 679 nt
Organism: Solanum lycopersicum (tomato)
Lineage: Eukaryota; Viridiplantae; Streptophyta; Magnoliopsida; Solanales; Solanaceae
Source: RefSeq, a predicted model, not a curated record
AAAGGACAGAAUUGGAAAUUUUCAAGUAUUGAAACCCUAAUUCUCACAAAAGGGCUGGAAAGAGGCAGCAUGGAAUAUCAUUGAACAAUUUCAAUUUCAAAUUUGUAGAGUAAUCAUCUUUUAUCUUAGAUCUAGAGACAAAAAUUGUAGAUUUCCAUUUGGUACACUAAAGGCAAGUUGCCUUACAUUUCAGUUGUGGAUUUGAAGAUUGUGCUCUAUUUGAGUGAAGGAUCGGGAUGGUGAACCAAGAGAUCAUAUGUUCAUCUUCCUUUCUCAAAGUUGUUCGAGCUAGUUUGAAGCAAGGAGAAGCUGGUAAAUACGAGACAAGAGAUAGAACAGCGAACGAAUAAUAUUAAAAAUCAGGAAGAAAGUAGCAGUGAUACCAGAAAAGAAAGAUUUGAGGCCACAACUGAACUUUGGAAGUUGAAGGACAAAGAAGAUCAACUCGAAGACAGAUUGGAGAAAUAUGGGAUUUCUAAAAGAAUGCUCUUUAUUCAAUUACUUAUUCAUUUUGCAAGUUAUUUACAAUAAUGUUUACAUUCUACUUUGGCCUGUAGAUUUAGAGUUUUCGUUUUUCAGAAAAUGUGCUUCCUAAUAAGAUUGAUCUUUACAUAUGCUUGGAAUUUAAUUAAGACACCGAAAUCUUUAUUUUUGGUCUUGUUUCACUUUGAUAUGAUUA